GGCAUCCUACGGGGGGCAGCAGUGAGGAAUAUUGGUCAAUGGGCGGAAGCCUGAACCAGCCAAGUCGCGUGAGGGAAUAAGGCCCUACGGGUCGUAAACCUCUUUUGCCGGGGAGCAAGGGCCGGGACGAGUCCCGGUCCGGAGAGUACCCGGAGAAAAAGCAUCGGCUAACUCCGUGCCAGCAGCCGCGGUAAUACGGAGGAUGCGAGCGUUAUCCGGAUUUAUUGGGUUUAAAGGGUGCGUAGGCGGGCUUUUAAGUCAGCGGUGAAAAUUCGGGGCUCAACCCCGUCCGGCCGUUGAAGCUG
This 305-nucleotide ribosomal RNA is filed under the name uncultured bacterium. RNAcentral describes it as "bacterial SSU rRNA". It matches the Rfam family "Bacterial small subunit ribosomal RNA", at positions 333 to 635 of the family's 1533-position model. The record is from RNAcentral.